Vicia faba (fava bean) is the source of this 348-nucleotide non-coding RNA. The record is from the annotation of a GenBank genome assembly. NCBI's taxonomy places the organism in Eukaryota, Viridiplantae, Streptophyta, Magnoliopsida, Fabales, Fabaceae.
GUCGUCUACAUCACCUACCGGAACAAGUAUUCACCCAACGCCGCCAUCUUUGCCGGCCACGAUCCUUCCUUUCGAGUCACCGCCAAUUCCAUAAAGGUGCUUCCUUUCUCUUGUUCCCUUUUCACUUAUUGCUUAUUAGCAAUGCUGCAGUUUCGUUGGUCAAAUUUGAAAUUCCUUAUUUUUCUUAAUGAAUCCAACACUAACGCAAAAUUCCAGCUAAAUUCUAAGGGUUUAGUAAUUUUUUUGAAGCUUUGUAGUUUAAGGGUAUAUACCGUAUUCAUCUACGUUCCUUGUAUUUCAUGUCGUUUUUUAUCCCCAGAGCUGUUUCUUCCGGAUAGCACUUCCUAA